Molecule: ribosomal RNA, 502 nt
Filed under: uncultured bacterium
Lineage: Bacteria
Description: bacterial SSU rRNA
Rfam family: Bacterial small subunit ribosomal RNA
Source: RNAcentral
AGAGUUUGAUCAUGGCUCAGGACGAACGCUGGCGGCGUGCUUAACACAUGCAAGUCGAGCGGUAAGGCCCUUCGGGGUACACGAGCGGCGAACGGGUGAGUAACACGUGAGCAAUCUGCCCUUCACUUUGGGAUAACCACCGGAAACGGUGGCUAAUACCGAAUACGACCGCCCCGGGCAUCUGGUGGUGGUGGAAAGUUCCGGCGGUGGAGGAUGAGCUCGCGGCCUAUCAGCUUGUUGGUGGGGUAAUGGCCUACCAAGGCGACGGCGGGUAGCCGGCCUGAGAGGGUGACCGGCCACACUGGGACUGAGACACGGCCCAGACUCCUACGGGAGGCAGCAGUGGGGAAUAUUGGACAAUGGGCGAAAGCCUGAUCCAGCAACGCCGCGUGAGGGAUGACGGCCUUCGGGUUGUAAACCUCUUUCAGUACCGACGAAGCGCAAGUGACGGUAGGUACAGAAGAAGCCCCGGCUAACUUCGUGCCAGCCGCCGCGGUAAUAC